CCACCAUCAUUCAUUGCAACCUGGUAAUGCUGGUCGUAUUUUAUCAGAAAUCCCAUCAGGUCCAGAUCCCAUUCAUAACCCCGAUUCCCCUAGUGCACGUGUUUAUGGUUGAUGUGUGGAUGGAAUAGAUGUAUUCAAUAUUUAUAAAAUAAAUUGUGAGAUUCUGUAUACACUUGAUGUACUAGUUCAAUGUUAAUAAUUAAGUGUUAUAAACUCAAGUUAUAGAGUUCAUGAGUUAUCUCUAUUUAGAUUUCUCAAGUAUUAGCCCAUUUA
This is a long non-coding RNA of Lathyrus oleraceus (garden pea), 273 nucleotides long. RefSeq lists it as uncharacterized. Lineage: Eukaryota; Viridiplantae; Streptophyta; Magnoliopsida; Fabales; Fabaceae. The record is from RefSeq and is a predicted model, not a curated record. The transcript is spliced from 2 exons.